Molecule: unclassified non-coding RNA, 209 nt
Filed under: uncultured fungus
Lineage: Eukaryota; Fungi
Description: sequence contains ITS1
Source: RNAcentral
GUACAUUUGUGUUAUACACAGUAAACAUUCUAAAACUGAAGCGUUUGUGAUAAACAUAAGAACUAAGACUUUCGCCAUUUGUUCUUACUUGUGGUGCACAGGGGUUGAGAGAGUGGAUGAGCCAGGCGUGCACAUGCCUCUGUUACAAGGCCAGCUACAACCCGUUCAAAAACUCGAUAAUGAUCCUUCCGCAGGUUCACCUACGGAAA